ACCAAUUGAACCACUGAUCACCCCUUAGUCUAAACCACCCCCCUCCCUUCUCCUCUCCCACCUCAUCUGUUCUUCUUCCAAGCCCUCCCCCACCAUGACUAUUUAUUCAAGAAUUUAUUUUGUAACUCCAAACAAAACAACAAUAACCCAUUUCUUUUUGUUCAGUUUUCUAGUUUUUUAUUUUUUUAUUUUUGAUUUAGUUACUUUUUUAGCUAUUGAAAUACAUAACUCAUCUGAGACAAAAAGAAAUUGCGUGUAAGCCAGAUUUUUUCGUGGGAACAAUAUCGUGGGAACAAAAAUGGAAUUAGUGCGCACAAAAAGAAAUUGCGUGGGAACAAUAUCGCAAUGGAAUUUGUGCGCACAAAUUUUGGAGAUUACUAUCUUAGAUAAGGGAGAGAUAUAAUUUGGAAGAAACUUAUUAAUUGUUCUUGUUUUCAUCAAUGGUGAAACUUGAAGAAGAAAGAAGUAUGAAGAUGAAGGCAAGUGGGUUAUUAAAAUAAAGUUAAUUUAAAAAAAAAUAUAUAUAUAUAUAUAUAUAUAUAUAU
This 545-nucleotide long non-coding RNA is filed under the name Nicotiana benthamiana. Its description in RNAcentral is "long non-coding RNA (NBEN_LNC003330)". Lineage: Eukaryota; Viridiplantae; Streptophyta; Magnoliopsida; Solanales; Solanaceae. The record is from RNAcentral.